UACGAAGGGGGCUAGCGUUGUUCGGAAUUACUGGGCGUAAAGCGCGCGCAGGCGGUUCUUCAAGUCAGCGGUUAAAGCCCGGAGCUCAACUCCGGAACUGCCAUUGAAACUGUAGAACUUGAGGAUGAGAGAGGUGAGUGGAAUUCCCAGUGUAGAGGUGAAAUUCGUAGAUAUUGGGAAGAACACCGGUGGCGAAGGCGGCUCACUGGCUCAUUUCUGACGCUCAGGCGCGACAGCGUGGGGAUCGAACAGG
RNAcentral lists this ribosomal RNA (253 nucleotides) under uncultured bacterium. RNAcentral describes it as "partial 16S ribosomal RNA". It matches the Rfam family "Bacterial small subunit ribosomal RNA", at positions 524 to 776 of the family's 1533-position model. The record is from RNAcentral.